GACGAACGCUGGCGGCGGGCUUAACACAUGCAAGUCGAACGGAAAGGCCCUGCUUUUGUGGGGUGCUCGAGUGGCGAACGGGUGAGUAACACGUGAGUAACCUGCCCUUGACUUUGGGAUAACUUCAGGAAACUGGGGCUAAUACCGGAUAGGAGCCCCUGCUGCAUGGUGGGGGUUGGAAAUUUUCGGCGGUUGGGGAUGGAUUCGCGGCUUAUGAGCUUGUUGGUGGGGUAGUGGCUUACCAAGGCUUUGACGGGUAGCCGGCCUGGGAGGGUGGCCGGCCACCUUAGGACUGAGAUACGGACCAGACUCCUACGGGAGGCAGCAGUGGGGAGUAUUGCACAAUGGGCGGAAGCCUGAUGCAGCAACGCCGCGUGCGGGAUGACGGCCUUCGGGUUGUGAACCGCUUUCGCCUGUGACGAAGCGUGAGUGACGGUAAUGAGUAAAGAAGCACCGGCUAACUACGUG
RNAcentral lists this ribosomal RNA (468 nucleotides) under uncultured bacterium. Its description in RNAcentral is "partial 16S ribosomal RNA". It matches the Rfam family "Bacterial small subunit ribosomal RNA", at positions 28 to 507 of the family's 1533-position model. The record is from RNAcentral.